GACAAAACGGAGUUUGCUCUUUUGGGGGAUCGCAACUCGACCCACUUAGACGCUGAAAUCGCACCUUCUGGGGACAGCCCACAUGAGUUUAUGAGGUAAUUGACUGUGAAAUCGUGGUGGGUUUCUGAGCUCUCUGAGGUGAAGUGUCUGCAGAGUAGCAGAUUUUGAAGAGGAAAAUGUGAGGGUUUUACAUCUCCAACGACAAAUCGUUUAAAUGUGGAAGCAACUACGCAGGAAGAUGGAAAAUAACACAAUCUGAGGGUAACGACUUUCAAUUUGGAAAGCAAUACCAUCGUUUCAGUCAAUAUUAGAUGAUCAAUACCAUCGUUUCAGUCUUCCGCUCGCUGGGUUUUUGGUUUUAGCAUAUUUCAAUUUCAUUUCUUUUCCUUUGGAGUUUAAUAGAGAUUAGCUUUUAGUAGACUCGGCACAAUCUGACAUGACACCAAAAUGACAUGAAAAUAACAAGUUUCGGAUCAACAUGAUAAUUUAUCGGGUUAUUAUCAAGUGACUCGUUAAUAAUGGGUAUACACGAAGGUAACAUGUGAGUAACCCGUUUCGACCCGUUAAGAAAAAAUUUAUUUUGAUAAUUUUAAAAUUUAAUUACUAAAAGAUUUAUUAUAAAAUACAAUAACCAUAUUAAUAUAUACAAGAUAUUCUAUAUUAAAUAUAUAGUUUUGUAUUAUUAUUCUAUAUAAGUUUAAAAAAAAAAGUUUUAGUCAUUAUUUAUUUUUAUUAUGAGAGUUUCUUAUUAUCAUUACCAAGAUAAAUUUUACUUAACAUGUUGUUGUCCAAAAUUAAAAUAAACUAAUAUAGUAUUUGUAUAGGCAAGAACUAAGAAGACAUACAUACAAUACAAGUAUGAAAAAUGUGAAAGAAUAUAUAAACACUCGUGAUUCAUCAUUAUUCUUUCACGAGUAAAUAAUGGUUACACUUACAUUAUCGUUUAGAUUUUUAAAUCCUCCAAACCUUCGUGAAUAAUAUUUUUUAUUUGAGGGAAAAAUUAAUAAAAUUAAUAAUAAUUAUUGUAUAAGUGUAAAAAAUGUAAAAACAAAAUAUACAAUCACUUAUAGUGACAAACUUUACAAUUUUCAUGAAGGGGUCAACUUCGAAAUCCAACACUAUAAUUCAUAAACCUUAAAUUUAUAUUUAACCGUUGAUUGUCAUUUGUGCUUUAUUCUUCUUACUGAAUUUCAUUUUUUUAACUUUCUUUUUUGAAAACAUGAUCAUCUGGCAGAUGUACAAAGAUGAACGAUUCAGAUCUUUGAUAUCACGUUUCGAUAUUUACGGUUAAUUGAAAUAUGAGUCGAUGUCAUAUAGUUUGUAGAAACUUUAUAAACAUCAAGCAAUAUUUUCACUAACUGUAAAACUCUAAAUAUAAUAUCAACGAUCCAAACCGUUCAUCUUCAUGCAUCCUCUAAUAGAUCAAGUUUUCAAAAAAGAAAAUCUGAAAAAACAAAAUUUGAUGAGAACAAUGAAGGGUAAAUGUAAACAACAAUCAAUGGUUAAAUUUUGAUCUAUGAUUUAUAUGAUUAUAGUGGCGAAUUUCAAAGUUAAGCUUUUCAUGAAAGUUGUAAAGCUUGUCAUUACAAACGUUUAUAUAUAUAUAUAUAUAUAUAUAUUUAUAUUUUUAUAUUUUUUUACACUUCUACAUUAAUUAAAAAAACUAUUAAAGACUUUAGGUAAGUGAAAAUAUACUUAAAAGAAAAUUGCGUUUUUAUGUUUUGGAUGUGAUAAUAUGGUAUGUGUAUACUUAUUUAGUAUUAUGUUUUUCAUUUGAUUAUUUAUUGGUUUAAAAUAUAUUUUUCUUAACGGGUAACGGAUUGGGUCAUAUUAGCUGUUAAUAUUAUUGGGUUGGGUCAUUUUACCCGUUUAUUUUAACAGGUGUUACACGACACGAUCCGUUAAGAUAUCAGGCAUGACACAAAAACGACACGAACACAGAAAACAUGACACAAAUGCCAUGUCUAGCUUUUAGGUGUGGAAUUUAUUUAAUUAUUAUUUCUAACUAUUUGUUAUUAUAUAUAUAUAUAUAAUAAUUGAAAAAAGUUGUGCUUAUGUCUCUUUAUGCGGGUACAAUCUACACCGAUUCAUUUUUCUAUAACAAUUAACUAUUUAGCCUACUAAAACUAUUGUUCUACUAAUAAAAAAGUUGGUCAUGUAUUGCAUAUGAUUCAUGACACGCCCGACCCUGAUAUCCUUCAAAUACCAAGGCAGGCACGUGCUGGCAGACACCCGAAGGUGCCGAAGUCAUAUUAGAAUGCAUGAGAACUAGAAAGAAAUAACUAACAUAAAUACAACUUGUAAAUUUAACUAUAAUGAAUAUGCAAUUGUGGAACGUGUUCAGAGUAUACAACUAAUCCGAGACAUUAAAAAGAAUAAUAUAAAAUUGAAUGAAUAAAAUGAUGGGUCCUACACCGAGAGGACUCGAAGAUGUCGAUGUGGGAGUGCCUUGAUGCCUAGAUUGUACGCCUCGAUUCUAAGUGCUGAGGGGGCGCAAAACAAAAUAUGAGUGGACCAAGUUUAUAUAUAAGUAAUACUAAAAUAGUUAUUGAACAACGUAUCAUCCCCAAAGUUUAUAAAACUCAAUAGCGUAGUAUGUAAUAGGUUUUCCGAAAACCCUAUCAUGCCAUAAAACCUAAUAAACAAAUAUCAUAUAUAGUGUGCUUAAUAGUAGUAGCACAAAGGUAUAUAUAUAUAUAUAUAUAUAUAUAUAUAUAUAUAUAUCUUCAUUUUCCCGAAGGCCCUACAUCUCCCGCCUAUAGGCAAUAUAUAAAUAUCUUCUAACUGAAGCCAUAUAUAAGUAUAUUUCAGCCGAAACCACUAACCUAUGCCUGACCGAAGCCAUUAUAAAUAUCUACCGCCCGUAGGCACUACAUCUCCUGCUCGAAGGCAUAUAGAACUCUUUCAACCGAAGCCACCUACACACACCCUGCCGAAGCGAAAAUAAGUAUCAUUCAUCCAUAGGCAGUAUCAUUCACCCUUAAGCGGUUUCAUUCACCCGUAGGCAGAACGUAUGAGUAACCACUAAAUAAGCACAUAAAAACAUUAACAUAAUAUUUCUAAUAUAUAUAUAUAUAUAUAUAUAUAUAUAUAUAUCUCCAACGGAGCUCAGUAGCUAAAAUGUCAUAUCAUAAAUAUGUUCAAAGUAUAUAAUCAUAAAUCAUAUGUACUUCGAAGAACGUAAAGUUGAUAAAGCAUGAUAUAAACGUAACCCACAAAUCAUGCUUUUCAUGUAUGCAUUUCUAAUAGUAAAAAUAUGCAUUUUAGAAGGGGUCCACUCACAGGUACUUUGCCGUCGAAAAGUCAUGCAAACUAGAGAGGACAUAAACUUCAUAAACAAUUGCACCUAAGCACAAAAAGGUACCAAUUAAUAAAACUCUAUCAUAACGAUUGAAUUUGAGGAAACGGAUGUCAGAAACGGGUUCAAGACGUUGAAAAACAUAAGGGGAAACCUCGGGUACAUCCACACGCCGCUGCACACGCCGAUUUAGAUGGCUGGAAAGUUGGACGGAAAAGUUGCCAGUGCCACAGUGGUCGCCACCGUACACGGCGGCGAAGCAUAGUACCUUUGGUGGAAACACGUGUGCUCCACACACCGGCUAAGGUAGACUCCCACGCGUGCCUAUGCGCGAACCCAUGCGCCAACUGGGUUCUCGGUUUGGGAUUGUUCAGUUGGGUUGGGCCGAGGGUUUUGGGCUUGGGAAAUUGGGUCUGGGCCUAGAUUAUGGGUUGGGUUCAGUAGGUUAUAAAUUAGGAUUUAGGCUUGGUAGCCUAGCCCAAGGAUCUGGGUUAGGCUGGAGGGUUUGGGCUUGGCCUAGUUGGCUGAAACUCUAGGUUGGGCCGGGUAGCUUGGCCCAAGGAUUGGACCAGGUUAGUGUUUUCGAGUCGGGCUUGACCUGACUCUAGGCCGGGUUGGCCGUUUCGAGGAAGAAAAAGGUCGGAGCUAUCCUAGCUCCGUUCAACCCCAAAACCUAACUAAAACCCAUCAUACAAUAUACCAAAUUGAAGCCCAAGGAACAAGGAAGAGAUUUGUACCAAUUUCAAGACUUGAGGUGGCCAGAGUUAGCUGGAAAACGGUCUAAAACCCACGGGUUUUCGUCGGAAUCUAGGGAAGUAUCCCCGAGUCGGUUUCUCGAUGUUUUAACAUCCACAAUACAUUAAAAAAGAUCAGAAAUGAAAUAUAAGGAUGAAAAAGGGAAGGUUUAAUGUGUUUUUCGUAGCUCACCUAUGUUGGAGGUGUUGGAAACGCACCGAGUUUCCUUCUUGAACAGUGGCAUCUGCCACGAUCGAGUUCCCAGGUUCUUUGUCCGGGGUUCAUGGUGACAAGGUCUAAGUGUGAGGUAGGGGCCCCGCCAAGGAUAUUUUGAUCUUCCCAUGGCACCAUCUCAAUGCUUGUCGAGGGAAAAGGGAGAGAAGUGAGAAUGAUUGAGGGAGAGAGGUGAGAUAGAGAACUUUACGGGGAGAGAAGAGAGAAGAGAUAGAGAGAACUGUGAGGGAAGAAAGAUGAGGGAUUUGGGCUGAGGGACAAAAUCAAGGGUGGGCCCCCUUGGGCACACCAAUUAAGACCAAAAGCAUAAUUUCAAAAAUAAACAUCCCAAAAGCAACAAAACAAAAUACCUUUCCUACAUGAAAUGACCAAAUUACCCUUGUUCCAAAAUCCAUCAGGACGAGUUGUUACAAUUCAAACCCAAUUUCUCUUCUUGGAGUUAUAAUCCUAUAAAAUUGGAAUCAAACUCAACUUUUCAGCCAAUAGUGGAUUGCUUAAGGAUUUCAUGAUCGUCCACUGUUAGGCUUGAUUUCAAUGGUACAAAUUAAAUAACAUGAAAAGCACAUCCAUUUCUUCACCUUUGAUAUCAAAUCCAAAAGCGAUGGCUCGUUCAUUAACGCUUGAAACACAAUUUUUCGUUUUGCAGAUACAAAAACGUGUAAAAAAAAUGUUUGACAUACUGUUUUGUAAAAAUUAACUCAAAACAAUAUUUAGCUUAAGUACUGUAUAACAUUAACUUGGUGUUUCCUCUGUCUUUUAAGAAUUAUUUUCAAAAUAAUAGAACGUAAAAUAUUCAUUAUAAACAAUGUUAGAGUUUAAUAAAUAAAUAAAAUUAUGUAUGCCACCACUACCGCCACCACUACCACCACCACACAACCUUCUCCACCAUCCCACAAUCAUCACCACCACCACGACCAUCUUUGACACCACCAUCAUUGCCACCACCAUAUCCUCCACUGGCAUCACCAUGCCACACAACUCCACCGUCUCACCAUCACCACAAUCAACAAUAACACCACCGUCUUGCAUUGACUGUCGCCACCAUCAUUGCCACCACUACUAUAUUUUACAUCGCCAUCACCAGCCACCACGCUCUUCAGACUGAAGAGCGUUACCAUGUUAGAUGUCGAUGACGCUCAGUUUCGAAUGGAAAUGGAGGUCUUCAGAAAACGGAGCUGAAAACAUGAGCUCAAAUGGCAACUGGAAAAAGGUAGUACUAGCGCAGAUGAAAGUUGCAGGCGGGCAGACAUGGGCAAUUCGGAUUAAUCGGUUUUAUAUUGAAAUUGCGGCUUUGAACCAAUUAUAAAAUGAAACUUUUUUCUAUUUAUUUAUUUGGCUUUAGUUCGGUUCAGUUUCAACGGUUCUAAUUUCAGUUAGUCUCUUACUUGUAGGUCUAUACAAAAUUGACGUUAAUACAAGUAUUCACAUUCAUACAAACUCAAAAGUUCAAAACCUAGUCAUUUGCAGACUAAAUGCUUUAUGCAAUUUAAAAGAAAGUUAUGAUGAUCACCAUACUAAAAUUCAACUUGAAACAAUGUUCAACAUCAAGUUGUCUUAUGACAUUACUUUAACCAAUCCAAUUGAAAAUGUUAAGUUUACUAUACUAAAAUUAAUGUUCAAACAAAGUUCAAAGUCAGAAUGCCUAAUGGCAUUAGCACAACAUGAAAAAAAUAAAUUGUUCAUGCAAUUCAACAAAAAAAAAUUUGAUGUUUAAAGUCACUACUUUGAAAUUUUGAUUCGUUCAAAACAUUCGUGCUCACUUUUUGUUUUGAACACUUACUAUUCAAUGGUUUAUGGGGGCUUUGAGCUUGCAAACAAGCUCGAGAGGCAUUUAAGCUUAAGAAUACGAUACUUGAGAAAACCUUGGACCUUGAGAAAGUGAAAUCGAUAAAUGAAAAGUCAUUAAACCUUGUGAAUUAGAAGCUUAAGAUUGCUUUGGAGUUUGUUGUGGUUGUGUAUUAUGACUAAGAUAGACGAUGCUUGUGCAUUAACAUUCAUUAGAGUGGCUAUGAUAGGAAUCUAAUAUGUAUCUUAGUAAUUAACGGUUGUUAUACAGCAAUUGUGAUUGUGCCAAAUGUCAUCAUUUGAAUGAUUAAGUUGUAAUACUUGUAAUAAGGUUGUUAGUGGUAGUUGUAAUUGGAUAACAGUAGUUAGAAAAGUUGUUGUAUAGCUUGGUUUGUAAGUAACAGAAAGGUUGUUAUGAAAAUAGUAUUGAAAUUCAUUUGUCAUUCUCUCUUGACAAGUUCGCUCAUGGCUUCUCUGAGUUAUGGUUUGAUCGAUGAUCUAUCAUUGGUAUCGGGUCAGUCUGGAAGUGCGUCAAGAUUCAUCAGACGCCCGAAAUGUUCGACGCCAUGGAAGUGCGUCAAGAUUCAUCAGAUGCCCGAAAUGAGAAACUUCAUCGCGAUUUUAUGGAUAAAUGUGAAAUGGGUUUUUCGAGCGAUUCAUCGGAUGCAACUCAAUCUGAUCUCAAUCUAUGUGAAGAUUCAAGACCCCAACAAUUCAACCGCCAUGAUUCAGGGUUACAACCAAGACCUUUUCUAGUUAAACUUGAUUUUCCUCGCUUUCAGGAAUGGGAUGAUCCUUGUGGGUGGAUUUACAAGGCGAAGCAUUAUUUUGAUUGCUUUGAUAUUCCGACCGACAAGAAAGUUCCUAUGGCUUCCUUUCAUAUGGAGAAUGAGGCACUUCAAUGGUUACAAUGGGUUAAUUGUGUAAAGAAUUAUCCUAAAUGGGAAGAUUUUACAAAGAUUUUUUUGUAGGGAAUUUGGUUCAUCUGACCUUACAGACUGCAUUGAAAAUUUGGUGAAACUUCGCCAAUCUAGGUUGCUCAGAGAUUACAUCAUGGAAUUUUGACGAUUAUCAAAUCGUACUGUAGAAAUCACCCAUGGACUCAUGAAAAGUUGUUUCAUUGGAGGAUUGAAACCAGAAAUUUGUCAUGAUGUCAAGAUUUUGAGACCAUUUGAUGUUCAAGCCUACACAAUUAUCUGAUGUCACCAACACGCCAAAGACUGAGCAUUCUUCAAGAAAUGAGAUUUUUAGGCGAUUAACAGUAGCAAAAAUUGAGUUUUGAAGGAAAAACAUGCUAUGUUUUAACUGUGAUGAAAUUUUUCGAGAGAACAUGUUUGUGCUAGUCCAAAACAACAAGUGUUACUCAUGGAUAUGUACGACAAUUGAGACCUUAUUGAACAUCAUUCUGAUGACAAUGAAGAGCUUGAGGUAACUGCUUGUGCAGUUUAUGGGAUGCCUACUCCAAAAUCCAUUAAAACAAUGAAAAUCAAAAAGUGCUCAAUUGUCCUGCUAUUUUUCUGGUAGAUUUAAGAAGCUCACAUAAUUUCAUUGAUAUUUCACUAGUCAAACAAUUAAAAGGUCAUCCAGAUACCACACACCCAUUCACUGUUAAGAUUGCAAAUGGGGGAUCCCUCACUAGUAUUGGAUGUUUAGCUCAGGUUUUUAUUAGAAUACAGAAUUAUGCAACUGUGCUUGAUUUCUAUGCUCUUCCCUUGGGUGGAUGUGAUAUUGUUUCGGGCAUACAAUGGUUAAGAACAUUGGGACUAGAGCUAUGAGACUUUGACAAGAUGAUUAUGAAGUUUGUAGUUAGCAAUACCACCUUUUCCAUAUCAAGUCUUCAAUCCCAAGAAUCUCAAUCCAUUUCUUCCUUGCAAAUGGAUAAGUUACUCAACUGUGAACACUGCCUAGGAGCUGCUUUAUUUGUUUUGCAAGUUGGUGCAUAAAACACAACUCUAUCCACUCAUUCUCAGUUGAAUUCUCACCAAGACAAUGAUCUGCAAAUCAUGUUAGCAAAUUAUCAACCUAUUUUUCAAACCUCAUCUGGAUUACCUCCAUCCAGAUCCCAUGAUCACAGGAUACCAUUGCUAGAAAGAUGCAAACCUCCUAGUGCUAGACCUUAUAAAUAUGGUCCAUUUCCGAAAACAGAAUUAGAGAAUUGUGUUAAGGAGCUACUAGAAUCAGGUUUCAUCACGCCAAGCCAUAGCCCUUUCUCUUCUCCAGUGUUCUUAGUAAAGAAAAAUGAGGGUACUUUGAGGAUGUGCAUGGAUUAUAAGGCACUUAAUCUACUCACAAUCAAAGACAGGUACUCUAUACCAUUGAUUGAUGAGUUAUUGUAUGGGCUUUUUGGUGCAAAAUAUUUUUCAAAAUUGGAUCUUAGGUCUAGUUAUCAUCAAAUUCGUAUGCACCCCAAAAACAUUGAAAAAAAACCGCUUUUAGAACUCAUGAGAGGCAUUACGAGUUUCUAGUUAUGCCUUUUGGCCUAACAAAUGCCCAUGCAUCUUUCCAGAGCCUAAUGAAUGAGAUAUUUAGGCCUUAUUUGAGGAAAUUCAUCUUAGUUUUCUUUGAUGAUAUUCUAAUAUAUAGUGCCUCUUGGGAAUUGCACUUGCAACACUUGAGUACUGCCCUCAGUUUACUCCAAGAUCAUCACUUGUUUGUGAAACUAUCUAAGUGUGCUUUUGGGAAAACACAAAUUGAAUACUUAGGCCAUAUUGUUUUGCAAAAUGGAGUAGCUGAUGACCCUUCAAAACUGAAAGCUAUUGCAUAUUGGUCUCUACCUACUUCUGUGAAAGCUUUAAGGGUGUUUUUAGGCUUAACUGGAUAUUAUAGGAAAUUCAUUCCUCAAUUUGGAAGAAUCAGUGGGCCUUUGACUUAACUCACUAAGAAGGAUGGAUUUAAAUGAAAUUAUAAAGCUAUUGAUGCAUUUCAAGAAUUGAAAAAUGCAAUGUUGUCUCCUCAGGUUUUAACACUACCAGAUUUUUCAAAACCAUUUGUUAUUCAAAGUGAUGCUUCAGGCACUGAGAUAGGGGCAAUUCUGCAGCAAUGGGGUAUACCUAUUGCAUUCACUAGUCAGGCUCUAGGACCAAAGAAUCAAGCACCAUCUACAUAUGAAAGAGAAAUGUUGGCUGUGAUUCAUGCAGUUAAAAAGUGGCAGUCUUAUUUACUUAGGAACCAUUUCAUUAUAAGGAUAGACCACCACAGCCUCAAAUAUUUUCUUCAAAAUCAAGCUAAUUCUCAUUUCCAGCAAAAAUAGGUUUCCAAGUAACUUAGAUUUGAUUAUGAAAUCCAGUACAGAAAAGGCAAUGACAAUAAAGCAGCUGAUAUAUUAUCUAGAAUGUUCAAUUCUUAGGGUACUUCAGCUAUUAGUUCAAGUAUUGAAAUUGCUAUUGCUUUAAGAAUUGUUGUUGGUAUUGAUCAAGGUAAUGUUGCUGCAGUUUCAUUGGAAUGCGCAUAUAUGGACAGUGAAUUACUUGCAUUAUUAUACCCUUAUAUGUCUUGGCUUGAUGAUUUACGGAGGCAUGUAGAAAAUGAUGAUUGGAUUUUAAAAAAGUCUCGGGCUAUUUUACAAACACCUUAUGAUUUUGCUCCACUAAAUUUGCUUAAAUAUCAGAUUGAUAAUUGUUUUUUGAAGUAUAAGAAUAGGAUUGUUAUCAGUCCUACAAGUCAGUGGAGAACAAAGAUAUUGGAAGAACACCAUUGUACACCUUCUGCAGGCCAUAAAGGUUUCCUCAUGACUUAUAAAAGGAUAUUAUAUCCUUUAAUUAGGAAGGUAUGAAGAACAAUAUCAAAGAAAUGGUUGCUGGAUGUGAUAUUUGUCAGAAGAAUAAAUAUGAAACACUUGCCCCUGCUGGACUUCUAAAUCCAUUAUUUAUUCCUCAGAGAAUUUGGUCUAAUAUAACUAUGGGUUUUAUCACUGGACUUCCUCCCUGCAAGGGUAAAUCAGCACAUUCAAUGGCCCAAGUCUUUACUGACCAAGUGUUUAAAUCACAUGGAAUGCCCACUUUCAUUGUAUAUGAUAGGGAUCCAAUCCUCAUCAGCUCAGUUUGGAAGGAAUUCUUUAAAAUCCAGGUUCUAAGCUAUGUCUCAAUGCAGGUUUCCAUCCCCAAACUGAUGGAGAAACAGAAGUUCUAAAUAGAUGUCUGGAAACGUAUUUGAGGUGUUUUUGUAGCUGGCAGCCCAAACAAUGGUUAAAAUGGCUCCCUUGGGUAGAAUGGAGCUACAACACCUCAUACCAUUUUGCAAUUAAAAUGACCCACCUUAUGAAGUGGUGUAUGGACAGUUACCACCAUAUGUCCCACUCUAUGAAAUUGGCAUAACAAGGGUUGAUAUGGUGGAUCAAUGUCUGAAAGACAAGACUAGAAUUUUAUCUCUCUUAAAGACCAACUUAGCAGUUGCUCAAGAAAGGAUGACAACUCAUGUCACGCCCCGAUCCUGACCUACAUUCAGGAUUGACAUGUGAUGUCACCAAGUAACCAUAUACCCAAUAGAUCCUACCUCCAGGAUAUGUACGAAGCAUAACUCAAGAAUCGAAUCGCAUAAUAAUUUUUCGUAUACUUUAUGGUCGCAUCUAAGCUCCUCGUUAGACUGCAUACGUACCCUCAAUAGGGAUCAAGUCAUUCGUAGUUCACCUUCACCACAACUCGACAUAUAUCAUAGUCCGUUCAAGCCGAAAGGCAUAACAUUCCUCAAUCAAACAUUUGGACUUGACAAGCAUGAAUUAUUCGAUUCAAGUUACAUAACAACCCACAUGACAAUCAAGGUUUCUUUUUCAUCCAUCAUAUAAAUCAUUAUGUUUCAACAUAAAAUCGCAAUUUAUAUCAUGUAAUAUAUCAAAGAAUCAACAAAGCACAAUAGUAUCCUCUAGUUGCAUUGAUCACUGAUCUAAUUGUAUUAAUAACAAUCAUAUUCAACAUCAUUCCACAAUCACCUCAAGUAAUAUAUUCCAUGAAUCAAGGAAUUCUUCAUAAUUCCCUGCAUGGAUUCCAAGUAAUAACUUGAUAAUUCUAAUUUAUAUUCACAAGGUCUAUUGUGGGUAAUUCUCAUUCACUCGAAUCCAGGGUUCUAGCCUAACUUAUGGAAAUGAGCAAGAGUAUGGAUUCCAGACCACUCAACGGAAUCCAAACCAGGAUACGAUUCGGACCACUCAACAGAAUCUAAACUAAAUUAUGAUUGCCUAUCGAAAUGUACCAAGUGCAACUAAUCAUCAUCACCUCUAAAAUGCGUAUGGUUACCAAGCAGAACCAUAGGGAUAAUCUCUUCGUGCAGGUAGUGAUCACCUAUCGUGGAUAUACCAAGCAUGAUCACCCCUGAAUACAUAUGGUCCCCCAUCGCGGAUAUACCAAGCAGAACCAUAUGAAUAAUCUAAUAACAUAGGCAGUGAUCACCCGUCACGGAUAUACCAAGCAUGAUUACCCCUAACAGUCCCCCAUCGUGGAUAUACCAAGCAAGACUGUAUUCUGUAGCUCUAGGUAGUGAUCACCCAUCGCGGAUAUACCAAGCAUGAUCACUCCUAGAAUGCGUAUGGUCCCCCAUCGUGGAUAUACCAAGCAGGACCAUAAGCAUAGUCGAAUCGUGCAGGCGGUGAUCACCCAUCGCCGAUAUACCAAGCAUGAUCACCCCUGAAGUACGUAUGGUCCCCCAUUGCAGAUAUACCAAGCAGGACCAUCCAUGUACCAUUGGUACAUGGUGCAAUAAAUUCAACACACCACCUACCCACAACUCAACCCCUAUGAGUUUCAACGUAGUCACCUACACCAUCAACUUCUCAUGGCCACCAACUAAUAUGUCACACAAGCAUAUAAGUUCUACAUAAUACAACCAAUAAGAUUCUAGGAUCACAUUGUCAUAACAUUUAUCAUACUUAUCAUUCACAUUAUUAAGAAGAUAAAUAAGCACAUAUAUAUCACAACAUGACGUUCCAUACACAUAAACCGAUGUAUAUAUUAUUGGGAUAACUCACUAGCCAAUAUAGAACCACUAAGCCUUACAUAGUCUCUAGUAAUACUGAUUCUGUAAUCUUGCCACUCAAAUAAUAUCACUCAAAUAGUAGUAAAGAAGAUUAGAAAGGAAUCUGGAAAAGAAGAUAGGUAUGGCAAAACAGUACUCUGCUUCUUCACAAAAUCUGCAGAAAAAGAGCACUAUUAGACCAAGUUUAGACUCCAUUUGGAACAUUCAAAACUAAACCAAAUCGUGUAAUAUUAUAUGGAUUUUGAAGCUUGUGCUCUUUACUUUAAAAACAUAUGAAGUUUGUAGUAAACGGAGCUCUAAUUGGAAGUUAUGCCAAAAAGAAAAAUGAAGUCUUGAAACUGGAAACCCAGUUUUCUAUUGCUGUUGGCAGCUCGCGACCCAAGUUUAAAUAAGGUUUUGAUCAACCAAAACUCAACGGAAUUGAGUGAAAACAAUUAGGUUACGAUCAUGAACAUAUUUACUUUCAACACACUAUUUUUUUCCAAAGGAGCACAUAUAGACCUAGAAAUUAAGAGCCAAAGAAGGCUACUCGAAACUUGAGUUUUCUUUGCAAAGAAAUCAAUUUUCUGCAGCUUAGGUAACAACCCACCUCCAAUUCAUAUAACAAAUCCAAAAUAAUUCCAGGUAGUCCAGAAGUCAUGUAUACAACAUCCGAAACUAACAUGACUCAAAAUUAACAAGAAAUUGACCUUUUGAACUAGACCCUUGAUCAAGAAAUUUGGUCUACACAUCCAAUCCGAAUUACCCAACUCUAAUUCAUGUUCAGAUUGGUUCAUUGAAUGAUAGAAAACCCUAAAUAAAACUAAGAACUCCAAUAUACAUCAUGGCAGUUUCAAUUCAACUUAAGGAAAUUAAAUUCAAAAUCAAGAUAAUCAAGAUAAUCAAGGAACAAGGAAUUUACCCUUCAAAUCUCUGAAUCCUUCCUUCACAAUCACGUUCUCUAACUAUCAAUUUCUCUGCCCUUUUUCUUUUAUGAUGUUUUGCCCCUUCUCUGCAGCCCCUUCAACCCCUUUUAUAGUUACUAUAAUCCUACUCAAUUCGAUCACAAGAUUUCCUCACCUCUCUUCGAUUUUUGUCUGAAGAAAGAAGAAUUUCUUCCAAAAGCUAUGGAAGAGCUACUUCCUCCCCAUUUCUUCUUUUUCCCUCGCAGAGAACGGAAUGAAAGAACGUUCCUAUCCUUUCCCCCCCCCCCCCCCAUCGUCUCCGUCCAUCUCCUCCCUUCUCUUCUUUUCUUUUUAUCUCAACCACGCACAUGGCAUUAUCUCAGUGCUCAAAAAAAAUCUGGAGCCUUCUUGAUUGAGGAAAAAUUACCGAAAUAUCAUUUAACUUUAAACGUUAAUAACUCAUUCGUUAUAGCUCCGUUUCACGAAUAGUUUGUGCCCACGCGUUCGUGAGAUCGAGCUCUAUUCGAAAAUAUAAAUUGUGACAUCGAACGAUCUACAUAUUUUAAAUAAUUAGUUUCAAAACUUCACUCUUUGUAACUAGUUUAAUCAAAAUAUAGAUUCAAAUAAAUUAAUAUAAAUUCCCAAAAAAAUAAAAAUCUCAAUAAUACAAUUACGUAGAUUAUAAUAGUGAAAUCCAGGAACGAGAUUUCACAACUCAAGCAAACAAGCAUAGAACUGAGAGAUCAUUUACAGUUGGUGAUUUUGUUUAUCUCAUAUUGGUUCCCUACCAACAUAAGUCAUUAGCUUUGCAUCCUUUCCAUAAAUUACAUCCUCAAUUCUAUGGUCCCUUUGAGAUUCUUGCUCGAGUUGGACUUGUGGCAUACAAAUUGAAGCUACCAAGUCACUCCACGAUCCAUCUAGUUUUUCAUGUUUCAUGUCUCAAAAAGAAGUUGGGGACUGCAGUCACUACUACUAUUCCCUUACCAAUAGUUCAAGAUGUUGGCUUAAUUCAAGAUGAACCAGAACCAUCAGCUAUUUUGGACCGAAGAGUGAUUCAGAACAGGCCAACUUCAGUUACAAAAGUGUUGGUGCAUUGGAAAAAUCAUCAUUCUACAAAUGCAUCUUGGGAAAUCUGGAUACCCUACGGUUGAAAUUUCCUGAUUUUCAGCCUCGAGGACAAGGCUAAUUUCAAAGGGAGGAGUAGAUGAUAGGAAUCUGAUAGGUAUCUUAAUAGUUAAGGGUUGUUAUAUAGCAAUUGUGAUUGUGCCAAAUGUCAUCAUAUGAAUGAUUGAGCUGUAAUACUUGUAAUAAGGUUGUUACUAGUAGUUGUAAUUGGAUAAAAGUAAUUAGAAAAGUCGCUAUAUAGCUUGGUUUGUAAGUAACAGAAAGGUUGUUAUGAAAAUAGUAUUGAAAUUCAUUUGUCAUUCUCUCUCUACAAGUUCUCUCAUGGCUUCUCUGAGUUAAGGUUUGACAUGGGAUCUAUGAGGCUAUGUAUUUGUAUUUCACAAUGUACAAGAGAUUUACAUAAUACAAUGAAGAUUUCUAGAGCUUUAGAAUCAAAGUAAAUGGAUGAUGAAAGAGGAGUGGUCUUGCAAUUACACCAAUCUUUGACGAACAUGAUUCCAGAAUACAGUUCAUCACAUAUAUUUCAAUUAGUUUAGAUAUCCAAAGCUCAGAAAUAAACAUAUAAACAUAUGCGUAUUCAUAUAUUUGAACAGGCUCCGCCGAGCAUCCACGCCUCCAUCUCUAAGGGAACAAACAAAAGUAACACACUUUACUCCUCAGGAAAUGUUCAAUUUUUGCAUUUUCUUAGCAAUACGAUUGUACAAGAAAGUCUUGAUUGGUGGAGUAUCAAUUGUUCUCGCGGAGGAGGAAAGUCUUCAUUUUCACCUAAACGUGACGUUAUUUCACCAUACAACCGUCAUAAUCGUAACUCUAUGUUCUUUGUCAUUGUCUAAAGAUAAUCUCUAGAAAAAUUCAUUCGACUUGAAUACCAUUUAACCAUUCAAGAACGUCAAACAAAUUGACGAUUAUGACAUCCUCACGGAGAAAGUUAAAAACAAAAAUUAUUAUAAGUUUUUAUUUUCAAGAUUUUGUUUUCAUUCACUCUUCUUAUUUCUAUUCCUCCCUCACCACCCUUGUUUUCCCCGUCUUCUCCUUUAUACUUCCUCCAUAUCUAAAGCACAAAAAGAUGAAAACUAAAAACAUAAAACCAAAUGGUUAUCAAACGUACACUAACUACGUGUUUAAACCUACCAAUGUCCCUCCCUCCCACCACCCUUCCUCCAAUUUACACCAUGAAAGCACAAUGAUCGGCUUCAGAUUCGAUCACAUACGAUUUAGUAUCGGAUAAUUGCAGACAGAAAUUGGAUUCAUUUAUCCACACAGAUUGAGAUAUCAAUUCCAAAAGCCAGCUCCCAGACGAAAACAAUCAAUCUUGAGUUGAUAUACAACUCAAGUAGCUAGAGAAAUAUAAAACACUAGCUAAGGACACAAACUUACAAUGCUGAACCAAAAGUUAGCUGCUACCAAUGGAAAUAAACAGCACUGCAUCUACGGUACUACAUCAAGGCGUCCCAAAUUAUAAUGAACAUCAAACCUCUUUUGAGCUACGAACAUCAUACAUCCUGGACUUCAACUCUUCCGUGAUACACACUCGAUAACUGAGGUACUUCGUAUAUAUAUCUUGCCACAAACCUCUCCAAGAACAACUUCUCCACAAGCACCAACACAGAACACAAACUCACAGAUUGAAUCCAAUUUAUCAAUCCUUUCAACAACUGAACAGCGGGGUAUAAGGGCUAGUUUGGUAUUGCUGUGCUUUGAAAAAAAGUUGUUGUGAGAAUAAGCGGCUGUGCUGUGAGAAUAAGCGGCUGUGAAAUAAAUCAGGAGAGUGUUUGGUAAACUUUUUUGUAAAAGUGCUUUUGGAAAAAAAAACAGUCUGAUAGUGGGUCUUUUCAUUAAAGAAGCACUGUAACUCCGUGUGCUUUGAAAAAAAGCCAGUUUUCCAAAGCUACAAAUAGCAGCUUCAACUUUUUCCUUUGAUUUCAGCUUAUUCUCACAGCAGCUUCCAAAAUAAGCCUUUUUUUUUCAGUUUACCAAACGCCUAAAACCCUCACAACUUUUUUUCAUGGGUGCUUUUUUUUUAAUCACCUCACUCUCAAACCACCCCUAAAUCUCAUCUCGAAACUGUAACACAUGACCACUGGUGAUCUGGCAAUCAUUUCCGACGGCCAUCCCAUCCUUUGCACUAAAAAUUCCAGCGUUAUCCUUAGUUUCUUCUCGGACACAUUCAUACAGACCUAUAAUUUGAUAAGAAGUGCUGAAAAUACAGCACAAGGGCACAAUGAUACUUACCUAGGCCAUGGCCACUGAGAAAAGGCUAGCUUCCGGAGGCAAUUACUGACAGGCAAUUACUCUGCAUUACAUAUCUUAUCAAAGCCUGAUCUUUUUGUCCCCUGAAAAACGCAAAAAUCAGCGACAAGAACUGCAUUUUCCUUUUUUUAAUAACGCAAGCGUUGCAUAAAUUCUUACAAACGCAAGGGAAGCACAAUGAUACAGUGAUACUUUACCCAGCCAUUGCCACCAAAAACAAGGAUAACUGCUUGUGGAGGAAUAUCAUAGACACUAGCACAGCAUAACACAGAGAACUCACAGACAAUCAAUGAUAUCCAACACAACUUUUAAUGUGAAAAUUCAGACAAGUUACUUUGUAUUUUUCAUCUCCAGAAUAAGAUUAUAAUGUGUACAAUCUACCGAAGGCAGUUCCCAGACGAACAAACUCAAGAACCAUCUACAGUUGAAGGCACCACAACCACAGAGAGCAGCGCCUGUCAUCAUCAAGUUGUUUUCAGAUAAGUUAACAAGAUAUGCAUUUCCUGCAAUAAGGUUAGAACUUGCCGCUUGAAAGGUUUUCGCUGUUCUUGGCUGUUUCAAUCUUUCUUUUUCGGACGAACGAACAAACUACCUUUCAUAACCUUACUUCACCGGCUUUCUGCUUAGGAUUUCUCUUCCUUAGACUUCACAUUAAACCGAAAAACAAAGCGGUAGUUUUCGCACAGUUUGCUCAGCUUCGGAUCCAAUACUGCACUAGAUAUGAUCUUGCAUCCUGGCCCUCACUAGCUCUUCGCAUGGUUAUGCAAACAACAUGCCCAAGGGAGAUUAGUGUACAUAACUAAAGGAGGUACUAGCAAUGAGCAGUGCUGCAUUUUGGGUACAAAUAAUACAGCAGUUACAAUACUGAGCGAAAAGCUAGAUGCUACCAAUGAAAUCUAACUCUUCCACAUUCCACUUAUUUUCCUCCAAAGUACAAAGAACGUACACACCCACACACACACACGCAUAUUUCACGUAGUGGCAGGUUUUUUCAUUCCUUCAUUGCCACAAUAGAUUAGAUUGAACCCCAAUAAAGCAACAUAUGUGUAUAAUCUAUCAAAUGCAGUUCCCAUAAGAACAAAGUCAAGAACACCAAUCUGAAGUUGAAAGCACCACAAUCAGGUCAAAUCUCAAGUUAAUUUCAAAUACAAUAACAACUACAAAGCCUUUUCCCACUAAGUUAAUUCCAAAUAAGAAAGUAAAUAUAUAACUAAAGUAGCUAGACAGUGGAACGCUAAGACAAACAAAUAAUUAACAAAUGAAUUCAUUUCUAGAAAAAUAUAAAACAGUACUUGAGUUCACAAACUUACAAUGCUGAGCCAAAAGUUAGCUCCUACCAAUGGAAAUGAACAGCACUGCAUCUACGAUACUACCACCAUCAGACAUCCUGGACUUCAACUCUUUUGACCUACCACCAUCAUACAUCCUGGACUUCAACUCUUCCUUGAUACACACUCAAUAACUGAGGUACUUCAUUUAUAUUUCUGGCCACAAACCUCUCCAAGAAAUACUUCUCCGCAGGCACCAACAAAGAAUACAAACUCACAUUUUCAAUCCCCUUUAUCAAUCCUUUCAACAAUAAAACUUUAACAACUGAACACCUUGGAACCAAUCUCUUCUCCAAACUUAAACAGAGGACCAGCGGGCUUUUUGCAAUCAUUUUUGAAGACCACCCCAUCUCGUUCACUAAAAAUUCCAGUGCUCGUAUUAAUUUCUUCUCCGAGACAAUCAUACAAUGAGGCUGACUCCUGAAAGCAGCGAGAACAUCAUCCUCAGACCACCCCCACCUCUUAUAAAUUUUGCAACUUCGAUUCCAUACAGACCUAUUGCUACCACACAAUACGUUCAUUGCUAACACUGAAGUUGAUUUUUGCAGAUCAAAACCCAUUCCAUUAAGCUCAUCCACAAGUUGACCAAGAUCUUUAGGCUUUAGCUUUAAAGCGUUGGGAUGAUAAGUAAGCAACAGAGAAAUGCACGAUUGGGGUAUACCUGAUUUUUUCAAAACCUCAAUAUUUGGCUCCACCUUCUUGGAGUGGCCUUCAGCGAAAAUCCAGGGGCCGCGCUUUAAAACGGAAACGACAUUUUUCUGAGAAAGCAGACUCCUAAGGAAAUCAUAAGUGGGUGCAAUCCGUUUCUCCAAGCUCGUAGACAAAAGCUUCGGUCUAUAUGCCAGAGUUUUUGCAAGGUCCCCCUUUGAAACUCCAAGAGAAGCGAAAAACUCAAGCUUUGGCAAAAGGGUUUUCUCCGGAUUGGAGUUAAGAACUGGAGAGUGAUUCCUGACGAUACUGGAGAUCUGGGUCUCAGAGAAUCCAUGGUUUCUGAGAAAGGACAAAACGGAGUCUGCUCUUUUGGGGGAUCGCAACUUGACCCACUUAGACGCUGAAAUCGCACCUUCUGGGGACAGCCCACAUGAGUUUAUGAGGUAAUUGACUGUGAAAUCGUGGUGGGUUUCUGAGAUUUCUGAGGUGAAGUGUCUGCAGAGUAGCAGAUUUUGAAGAGGAAAAUGUGAGGGUUUUACAUCUCCAACGACAAAUCGUUUAAAUGUGGAAGCAACUAUGCAGGAAGAUGGAGAAUAACACAAUCUGAGGGUAACGACUUUCAAUUUGGAAAGCAAUACCAUCGUUUCAGUCAAUAUUAGAUGAUCAAUUUCAAAUUUUGAACUGGAAAUGGUCCCAAAAAACCCUAGCAGGUCUUCCGCUCACUGGGUUUUUGGUUUUAGCAUAUUUCAAUUUCAUUUCCUUUCCCUUGGAGUUUAUUCAGAGAUUAGUUUUUGGUUGUGGAAUUUAUUUAAUUAUUAUUUCUAACUAUUUGUUAUUAUAUAUAUAUAUAUAUAUAUAUAUAUAUUUAUCAUUUGUAAAUGGCGCACAAUAAUUGAAAAAAGUUGUGCUUAUGUCUCUUCAUGCGGGUACGAUCUACAUCUAUUUGUUUUUUCUCUAACAAUUAACUAUUUAGCCCACUAACAUUAUCGUUCUACUGAUAAGAAAGUUGGUCAUAUAUUGCAUAUGAUUCAAACCCAAUUUCUCUUGUUGGAGUUAAUUGGAAUCAAAUGAUACAUCAAGAUUCAUGAUGAAAAUUAAGCUUACAAUCCAAAUAGAAUUACGAACCAAAACAAAUAGAAGUUAACAAUCAAAAUAGAAGUUAAAGUUUCAAACCAAAUGAAAAUUAGAACUAAACUUCAAAAAGUAAAAUUCAUUGAUCAAUUCUUCAAGUUUGAGAUGUCGAAGCUUUUGGAGGAGGCAUUGAAUAAUUGAAUUUGUAGAAGAUUGAGCUUGUGUCAAGCCAACAUUACAAACAAAGAAAACAUAUUAGUAGCAAGAAGAAUUAAAGUUGAAAACCAUUUAAAAAUUAAAGCAUAUCUUACUUGUUUCAACUUCUUCCAUUUUCUUGUAAAAUUGAAGCAUAUUUUCCGUUGAUUCCUUAUAGAAGUUUACUUCAUCCGCCCUAAGCCAAUCAGUAGUACACACUAGUGCUUUUACCAUUUUAGGAGUCAAUGAUGCCUUAAAAGAGUCCACAACCCUCCUCCCUAUGCUAAAUGCAUUUUCAUUAGCAACGGUAGAAGUGGGGGUUGCAAAGAUAUCAUUGGCUAUUUGUGAAAGAAUUGAGAACUCUUUUAUAUUUGAUUUCCACCAACUCAAGAGGUCAAAGUCACCAACAACAAUGCUAAUAUAAGUGGGGUUUUAUUUUCAAAUUAUUGAAAUAUUAUAAAUA
This 19983-nucleotide long non-coding RNA is filed under the name Malus domestica (apple). RNAcentral describes it as "long non-coding RNA (MDOM_LNC002183)". The record is from RNAcentral. Lineage: Eukaryota; Viridiplantae; Streptophyta; Magnoliopsida; Rosales; Rosaceae.